Long non-coding RNA from Vidua macroura (Pin-tailed whydah), 412 nucleotides. RefSeq lists it as uncharacterized. The transcript is spliced from 3 exons. The record is from RefSeq and is a predicted model, not a curated record. Lineage: Eukaryota; Metazoa; Chordata; Aves; Passeriformes; Viduidae.
UGAAGGAUCAUUCUCUGAUACGACUAUUUUCAGAAGUAAUGAAAUAGCUUUAAAGUAACAGAAUAUUCUUCUAGUUUCCUAAGUAACCUGGAGAAUAUUGGGAACUUUAUUCAAUAUUGCAAAGUAUCAUAUACCCAAACUGUUUUCUUUUUUCUCACAUGUCUUAUAUACAGGAACUUAAUGAAAUGGAAUAAUUUCAGGAAAGGAUUACAUAAUGCCCUAGAAUACUUGAGUUACUAGUGGCAUCAAUGGUUCCAAUGAACAUCCCGAAACCAGAAGAGUUGUCAGACGAAACGUUGUGGAAAUCCUGUCUUCAUUUAUGUAGAAGGCUCAUAUGUGCCCCAUUGUUGAAGAGGACACCAACAGUGUGAUCUGACAGCUGGUACCCAAAGCCAUACUUGUUGGAGUAGUC